Oryzias latipes (Japanese medaka) is the source of this 1697-nucleotide non-coding RNA. Lineage: Eukaryota; Metazoa; Chordata; Actinopteri; Beloniformes; Adrianichthyidae. The record is from RefSeq and is a predicted model, not a curated record.
GGUUUUAAGCCUUCAAUUUGCCCCAAUUGACAUGAAGUGCGCAUUUCGAAAAGCCAGUGAACGCAGCGUCAUACGGGCACCCCCACCCCACUCCCCCGGAAACCCCCGGAUGAACCCGCAGGAAGGCGCGCGGCUGAAGAACUUCUUGGACAGCUGGAAGGCCGCAGGAUCACGGUGAAGGCCUCUUCUGUAAAGAGGACGGGGGGCGGAAACGUCACGUGGUCUCCGCAGAGACUGGUCAGUUAUGUUGAGACAACAUGUACAAAUAGUUCCUGGACUGAUCUUCUGCUAACUUUGAGAUGGAGAGGCUGUCAGGUUCAUCUGUUUCAGGGUCCUGCAUGCUCUCCCUCCAUGUUGGCUGUAGCAGUGGAUGGAACUUGCUAAAUGUACUGUUUUGAGAGCCAACUGGGCUCAGUGGUUAUUUGGAAGAUGCGUUUUUGACCAAAAACACUGUGGUGACCUCCUUUGUGAACUGCAUUCAUGGGGAAAUAGAAUAUAAUCCUGGAGAUGGGAGAAGUGGAGCAGGUAAGUUUGUGGCAGCACCAGAGUCCUCCAACAAGUUUUUUGGCAAAGUAAAUGAGGAAGGAUCGCAGUCUGCCAUCGUGGAGUUUUGCUGAAAGGCCUGAACACGUUCCAUCCAUGCAUCCAUCUUCUUCCAUUCAUCAGGAACCAGGUUGUGAGGGCAGCAGUCUAAGCAAAGAUGCCCACACUUCCCUCUCCUCCAGCUCCUCUUGGGGGACCCCGGGGCCAGCUGAGAGACGUAGUCUCCCCAGCGUGUCCUGGGUCUCCCUUAGGGCCUCUGCCCUUAUUCCUGUUGGAGUUUUUUUCUAACCCCUUAUGUUUCAAAAGUUUGCAAACAUACAUUUUGGUUGAAAUGAUGAGGAUCCGAGGAUGAAAUCAAGAAGGGACAACAUCAGGGAAAGGGACUGAACCGACUGAACAGCUUCCUCUCUUCAGCAGACACAUGUUCCGAGUACAUAUGUGUCAAAAACUGACAUCCUCGCCGUUCAGGCCAGUGGCUGGAAUAAGCGGAAGUCAGAAAAGCUGGAGCAGACGUGAACGGAAUGAUACCUCCAGGACCAAUCAAAAUGACCCAGAGAAAAACACUGAAGGGCUUUGUCUGAGCAUCAGGAAAACAAGAAUCAGCUGUCAUCAACCUAUGGUUAUGGUGCCAUGGUAAAGAACUAAAGGCUCUAUGAUGUCAUGCUGCUGACCAGACUGUGGUUGGUGAAGUCCAGCAGCACUGCGGGUCCUUGAAGUGUGGUUGAAGAGCUCUCCUCCCAGCUUUUGGAAGGUUCUGCCCCACAAAGCAGCACAGAGUCAUUGAUGGAGAGAGAACAUGAGGGACUAAUUGUCUGCUGAGGAGGAGACUUUCUGCAGUUCAAGCCCCAGCUCCACCUCUAAAAAAAGGCUUAUAUAAAGGAAAACCUCAUUUCAACUUUGUACCAAUAAAUGACUUUUAAUUGAAAUGAGAGAUUCUUUCUGAACUGCACCAAUGAAGGGUUUUUCAACCUAAAUUUCAACAAUUACAUUGUUUUUUACCUCCGUUCAAGUUUCUACAACACUAGCUAAACAUUUCAGUGCUCACACCUGUGCUGAAGACACUUCUCAUUUUAACUCAAACGUUUGGCCUUUGAUUUGUAUGUCCAACACCUUAGAAUGAAACACUGACCUAUUAAACUCAUAUAAUAAAUGUG